This 1105-nucleotide long non-coding RNA is filed under the name Homo sapiens (human). RNAcentral's name for it is "non-protein coding lnc-INTS8-1:3". The record is from RNAcentral. Lineage: Eukaryota; Metazoa; Chordata; Mammalia; Primates; Hominidae.
GAGCUGAGCGUGAAGGCCUGGGCGAGCGGAAGGGUGGGAGAGAGGGGCUAGGCCGGGGAGGGAAGCGCUGGGGCCGGGGCCGGCUUUCCAGGAGCCGGCGGGAGCGGGGUGCGUAAGAGGCGGGCGAGGAAGAACCGGCGGGCAACGGGAAGGGCAGAGGUGGAUCUCUCCCUCAGCGACCCCUCUCGCCGAGUGAAGGGUCGAGGGUUUGGGGCACAAAGGGCGCAGAACGUUUUUUCCUGUGAGAGGAACAUUAAGACUCCUGGGAGGGCUGGGGCUAACGCCUCCGAGAGCCCCACCUGGUCAGCCUAGGGUUAGACGUGUAGCCAGGGUGCUGGGAGGGGGCCGCUGCUGGGCCCCAGAUAGAGGGGUAGAGGCCGCUCAAUCACGGAGCCAGGCCCCACCUGCUGUAGAAACCGCCACCGAGAGCCGGCCGGGCUUGCUGCACGCUCUGGAUUCCGCCUGCCUAUAGGCGAGGCACAAGGGACUGCGAGACCAGGCCUGAAGGCAGAGAGGUCAGCAGGCUCGGGGGCCUCUGCUCCAGCGGACAACAAGCGCACCGGGCGGGAACGGCCGCCUCCCCAGGCGCUGCAGCCUAGCUCUCAUGUGACCCACGGAACUUAGCCCCUCUGUUCUGUUUGCAUACCUGCAAAUUGUGGGCAUUCACGCCGGGACUGCCAACUCACCAGGUUAUUUAUAGUGACAAGAGAGUGAGACAGUGGGCUUGAAAGUGUUUUCCAGACCAAGGCUCUGUCCCACAUAUAGGUGGAUUAACUGUCUGGCAAAGGCAGGAAUCCAUUGAAGAGGCCAUCUCCACAUUCAGAACCAAGCUUCUGCUUUGUACUCUGGAAAAUGCCAGCCACCCAUGAGGAGAGACCACCCUGCUAGCCACAGGGAGAGGCUAUGUGAAAAGAAAGAGAUGCCUGGCCAGCUCUAGCUCUUCAGCUCAUCCCAGCUGAGCUACCAGACACAUGAGUGGAAAAGCCCUUAGGAAGUUCCAGCUCCAGCAGACACCAUACUGAACAGAGGAGAGAUAAGCCAUCCCCACGGAGCACUGCCAAAAUGACGGCAUUGUGAACAAAUAAAUGAUCAUUGUUUUAAGGCA